UACGGAGGAUGCGAGCGUUAUCCGGAUUUAUUGGGUUUAAAGGGUGCGUAGGUUGUUUUUUAAGUCAGCGGUGAAAGUUUGUGGCUCAACCAUAAAAUUGCCGUUGAAACUGGAAGACUUGAGUGUGUUUGAGGUAGGCGGAAUGUAUGGUGUAGCGGUGAAAUGCUUAGAGAUCAUACAGAACACCGAUUGCGAAGGCAGCUUACCAAACUAUAUCUGACGUUGAGGCACGAAAGCGUGGGUAGCAAACAGG
This 253-nucleotide ribosomal RNA is filed under the name uncultured Parabacteroides sp. RNAcentral describes it as "partial 16S ribosomal RNA". It matches the Rfam family "Bacterial small subunit ribosomal RNA", at positions 524 to 776 of the family's 1533-position model. Lineage: Bacteria; Pseudomonadati; Bacteroidota; Bacteroidia; Bacteroidales; Tannerellaceae. The record is from RNAcentral.